This is an RNA transcript of Nicotiana attenuata, 2058 nucleotides long. RefSeq lists it as uncharacterized. NCBI's taxonomy places the organism in Eukaryota, Viridiplantae, Streptophyta, Magnoliopsida, Solanales, Solanaceae. The transcript has 7 exons. The record is from RefSeq and is a predicted model, not a curated record.
UGUCGUUGCGCUUUAGGGAUUUUGGGGACUAAAACUUGAAAAAGGUGGAGGAGGAAGCAAAAAAACAGUCUUUUUAAUCAUCCACCCAAAAACUAUUUAAAAGAAAGGAAAACGAAUCCUUUGAAAUGGUUCUAUCCAAUUCAAAGUUCAAACAUACAUCACUUGCCCUAAACCUUUUCUCCUUCUAAACAAGAUUUCAGUAUUCACACAUACAGUUCUUGCUGGGUUUUCUGACUUCAGAUUUUUGACAAAGUUGUUGGUUGGUCUAAAAUCUUUUUACAGUCUGCUAUGAGCUUUUCUUGAGCAGAGAGCAGCUGCUCAUCUGCAUUUAUUGCUGGGUCCUUGAAAAUUAUUUCCCACCAUGGUAACAAUAUGUCUAAAUUGUGGUGAUGAAGGUUGGACUAACGCAUUUGUUUUCUGUGUGAAAUGCCUGGAAGUUGCUGUGCAUCGCUACUGCCUUAAAAAAGUCACCUUCAAGGAAUUUGUCAACUGGGUCUGUGAUGACUGUGAAGUGAAGGAGCCAGACGAACUAAACAUCAAGAAAUCUGAUGCCAUCUCAGUAGAAAAUGGGGAUUGCACUAGUUCAAGGCAUUGUAAAGCAACGUCUAAAGCAAAAGUGGAUGUUCCUGAGACAAAAUUAAAGAGUUGUCAAGGUAGGGAUCAGCAACUUCAUCAGCCAGGUGCUGGGAUUGAUUUGGUAGAGAAUUGUCAGAUAGCGGGUGAUAGUCCAGUUGUGAAGACGAGCAAGAAGAGAUCUAUUCUUGCUUCAUUAAGAGAUGAGAAAUAUGAGCAAAGACUAGUACGUUGCUCUUCUGAGCAAUCCCACAAGUCACAGAUAAUCAUUGAGUGCAAUGAACGAACUCAAUCAGCUAAUGUUUCUCCAUUGCUAGCUAAGCGAUCAAAGGAAGAAGUUACUGGCCCUCUGGCAAGGGAAGAAUUGCACGCUCCUCAUUUGAAGGAACCUUGUGAGGGAGAUAUUCAGCCCGGCACACAGGAUGAUUCUUCUGGCAUGAUUGAAAAGACAAUCAGUAUGUUGUCGCGUAGCAAUCAUCAUGAAGAGGAAUCGACGAUUGGAAACGAUAGAAGAUUAACACCUCAAACUAGAACUGUUGUUAAUGGAGAUCCUUCUCAAUUUUCAAAAGGUGAACAGCCAAAUGAACCCAAACAUGGUGGCCAAGACCGAGCGCAACCUCUUAUUGAUUUCAUUUGGAGGGGUAGUUUUAACAUCUGGAACAAAGAGUAUGAGACAUUUUAUGGACAAGCUCACCUUUCAGUUAAAGCAUGCCAAAAGGUUUUUGAAGAAGCAAGUUUGCUUCCAGCUUCGCUUCAACUGGAAAUGCUUCCAAAGUCUGACUUAUGGCCUAAGAGUUUCACUAUAUCAGAGCCGUCUGAUGAUAACAUUGCAUUGUAUUUUUUCCCAUCGGACAUAAGAUGGGAAAAGGUGUUUGAUCAGUUGGUGGAGAAGAUGAUCAGUAACGAACUUGCUCUUCGAGCAAUAGUAACUAAUGCCGAGCUUUUGGUUUUCACUUCUACGGAACUGCCCCUGCUAUACUGGAGAUUCCAGGGUAAGCACUACCUCUGGGGUGUUUUCAGAGCAAAGCGAGAUUCCAGUAGGAAUACUAUGAUGCCAAAUGGGAAGAGAGAAUCUGAGACUCAUCCAACUCCUGGGAAUGAAUUGGCUGUCAAAGAUGGUGGAGAUGUCGCAAACGCCAAAACGUGGGAUCAGAGUCCUCUUAGCCCUUUGAGCAACAAUGCAAGCCUUGGGUCUGCCACUUCCUGAAGCAUCUCUACUCUUGUUGUUUUGACGCAUUUCCCUCACUUCUGUGAUCUAGCAUGCUAUUUAACUGGUUGUUAAUGCAUAUAUGGGCUGAGGGCUGAGAAUCUGGUGGUUAGGACGAAACAGCUUUCGUUUUAGAGCCAUCUGGUGGGGAGAUUCGCCCGGUUAAAGAACCUAAUGUCCUGUGAAAGUUGUACACGAUUGACCGACAUUAUUAGUCCAAACGUCACCAAAUGGUAUGACAAGGAAGAGAAGCUUUUACAGCGCUCUCUGUUUUGCAC